UACGUAGGGGGCAAGCGUUGUCCGGAUUUAUUGGGCGUAAAGAGCGUGUAGGCGGCCAGGUAGGUCUGCUGUGAAAACUCGAGGCUUAACCUCGAGAUGUCGGCGGAAACCAUCUGGCUAGAGUCCGGAAGAGGAGAAUGGAAUUCCCGGUGUAGCGGUGAAAUGCGCAGAUAUCGGGAAGAACACCCGUGGCGAAGGCGGUUCUCUGGGACGGUACUGACACUGAGGCGCGAAAGCGUGGGGAGCGAACAGG
This 253-nucleotide ribosomal RNA is filed under the name uncultured bacterium. RNAcentral describes it as "partial 16S ribosomal RNA". It matches the Rfam family "Bacterial small subunit ribosomal RNA", at positions 524 to 776 of the family's 1533-position model. The record is from RNAcentral.